Molecule: ribosomal RNA, 400 nt
Filed under: uncultured bacterium
Lineage: Bacteria
Description: partial 16S ribosomal RNA
Rfam family: Archaeal small subunit ribosomal RNA
Source: RNAcentral
AUACCCGCAGCCCAAGUGGUGGUCGAUUUUAUUGAGUCUAAAACGUUCGUAGCCGGUUCAUUAAAUCCUUGGGUAAAUCGGAUGGCUUAACUAUCCGAAUUCCGGGGAGACUGGUGAACUUGGGACCGGGAGAGGCAAGAGGUACUUUUGGGGUAGGGGUAAAAUCCUGUAAUCCUAAAAGGACCACCGGUGGCGAAGGCGUCUUGCUAGAACGGAUCCGACGGUGAGGGACGAAGCCCUGGGUCGCAAACGGGAUUAGAUACCCCGGUAGUCCAGGGUGUAAACGCUGCAGACUUGGUGUUGGGGACCCUUCGGGGGUGUUCAGUGCCGGAGAGAAGUUGUUAAGUCUGCUACUUGGGGAGUACGUCCGCAAAGAUGAAACUUAAAGGAAUUGACGGGG